Long non-coding RNA from Cygnus atratus (black swan), 296 nucleotides. RefSeq lists it as uncharacterized. The transcript has 3 exons. Lineage: Eukaryota; Metazoa; Chordata; Aves; Anseriformes; Anatidae. The record is from RefSeq and is a predicted model, not a curated record.
AAAAAAAGGAAUAUCCAAUAGAACACGUGGGAGAAAUUUCUGAAGAAACAAUUCAGCAAGUUGAAACAGUGAGAACAAGUCCUCGUAAUUUUUAUGGAAACAGCCAUCUUUACUCACACAGAUACACUUCACCGCAAUAAAGGCCUGCAUGCUUGAACUCCCACAACAUGAUGAGUCAUAUGGAGCUGGUUAUUUCCUGGUGAAUAGCAAGAAGCAAGCAAAAAUUAUCAUUUGAAUAAAACAACCUGAGAAAACAAAACCAAGAGAUCUAUGAAAGACAGAGACAAUCUACCAGG